This 380-nucleotide RNase P RNA is filed under the name Aquisalinus luteolus. Its description in RNAcentral is "RNase P RNA component class A". It matches the Rfam family "Bacterial RNase P class A". From Rfam's summary of the family: Ribonuclease P (RNase P) is a ubiquitous endoribonuclease, found in archaea, bacteria and eukarya as well as chloroplasts and mitochondria. Its best characterised activity is the generation of mature 5'-ends of tRNAs by cleaving the 5'-leader elements of precursor-tRNAs. Lineage: Bacteria; Pseudomonadati; Pseudomonadota; Alphaproteobacteria; Parvularculales; Parvularculaceae. The record is from RNAcentral.
UCAGAUGACCGGAUGGCCGCGUCCUGCUUUCACGGCAGGCCGAGGAAAGUCCGGGCUCCACGGAACGAGGACGCCGGGUAACGCCCGGCUGGUGCGAACCAAGGGAUAGCGCCACAGAGAGCAGACCGCCUCCCAAAAGGAGGUAAGGGUGAAAGGGUGCGGUAAGAGCGCACCGCCGGGCCGGCAACGGUCCGGGCAUGGCAAGCCCCGUCCGGAGCAAGACCGAAUAGGGACAGCAUGGUUACUAACCAGGCCCGUUCCGGCCCCGCUGUCCGGGUUGGUUGCUGGAGGCGUCGCGCAAGCGCCGCCCGAGAGGAAUGGUCAUCGCCUGCCGAUCCGUCGGCGGGAUACAGAACCCGGCUUACAGGUCAUCUGACGCC